This 458-nucleotide ribosomal RNA is filed under the name uncultured bacterium. Its description in RNAcentral is "partial 16S ribosomal RNA". It matches the Rfam family "Bacterial small subunit ribosomal RNA", at positions 28 to 507 of the family's 1533-position model. The record is from RNAcentral.
GGUGAACGCUGGCGGCGUGCUUAAGACAUGCAAGUCGAACGGGCUCUUCGGAGCCAGUGGCGCACGGGUGAGUAACGCGUAACUGACCUACCCCAAAGUCGCGGAUAACGAUUCGAAAGAAUCGCUAAUACGUGAUGUGCUGUCAGAUCCUGUUCUGCCAGUAAAGAUUUAUUGCUUUGGGAUGGGGUUGCGUUCCAUCAGCUAGUUGGUGGGGUAAAGGCCCACUAAGGCGACGACGGAUCGCCGGCCUGCGAGGGUGGCCGGCCACAGGGGCACUGAGGCACGGGUCCCACUCCUACGGGAGGCAGCAGUUAGGAAUCUUCCACCAUGGGCGAAAGCCUGAUGGAGCGACGCCGCGUGAGGGAUGAAGGUCUUCGGAUCGUAAACCUCUGAAUCAGGGACGAAAGACGCGAAAGCGGGAUGACGGUACCUGAGUAAUAGCACCGGCUAACUCCGUG